UGCAAGUCGAGCGAACAGAUGAGAAGCUUGCUUCUCUGAUGUUAGCGGCGGACGGGUGAGUAACACGUGGGUAACCUACCUAUAAGACUGGGAUAACUCCGGGAAACCGGGGCUAAUACCGGAUAAUAUAUUGAACCGCAUGGUUCAAUGUUGAAAGACGGUUUCGGCUGUCACUUAUAGAUGGACCCGCGCCGUAUUAGCUAGUUGGUAAGGUAACGGCUUACCAAGGCAACGAUACGUAGCCGACCUGAGAGGGUGAUCGGCCACACUGGAACUGAGACACGGUCCAGACUCCUACGGGAGGCAGCAGUAGGGAAUCUUCCGCAAUGGGCGAAAGCCUGACGGAGCAACGCCGCGUGAGUGAUGAAGGUCUUAGGAUCGUAAAACUCUGUUGUUAGGGAAGAACAAAUUUGUUAGUAACUGAACAAGUCUUGACGGUACCUAACCAGAAAGCCACGGCUAACUACGUGCCAGCAGCCGCGGUAAUACGUAGGUGGCAAGCGUUAUCCGGAAUUAUUGGGCGUAAAGCGCGCGUAGGCGGUUUCUUAAGUCUGAUGUGAAAGCCCACGGCUCAACCGUGGAGGGUCAUUGGAAACUGGGGAACUUGAGUGCAGAAGAGGAGAGUGGAAUUCCAUGUGUAGCGGUGAAAUGCGCAGAGAUAUGGAGGAACACCAGUGGCGAAGGCGGCUCUCUGGUCUGUAACUGACGCUGAUGUGCGAAAGCGUGGGGAUCAAACAGGAUUAGAUACCCUGGUAGUCCACGCCGUAAACGAUGAGUGCUAAGUGUUAGGGGGUUUCCGCCCCUUAGUGCUGCAGCUAACGCAUUAAGCACUCCGCCUGGGGAGUACGACCGCAAGGUUGAAACUCAAAGGAAUUGACGGGGACCCGCACAAGCGGUGGAGCAUGUGG
This 908-nucleotide ribosomal RNA is filed under the name Staphylococcus sp. MRSA155bB15_13_3E. Its description in RNAcentral is "bacterial SSU rRNA". It matches the Rfam family "Bacterial small subunit ribosomal RNA", at positions 56 to 944 of the family's 1533-position model. Lineage: Bacteria; Bacillati; Bacillota; Bacilli; Caryophanales; Staphylococcaceae. The record is from RNAcentral.